AUUGAACGCUGGCGGCAUGCCUUACACAUGCAAGUCGAACGGCAGCACGGGUGCUUGCACCUGGUGGCGAGUGGCGAACGGGUGAGUAAUAUAUCGGAACAUACCCUAGAGUGGGGGAUAACGUAGCGAAAGUUACGCUAAUACCGCAUACGAACUAAGGUUGAAAGUGGGGGAUCGCAAGACCUCAUGCUCAUGGAGUGGCCGAUAUCUGAUUAGCUAGUUGGUGAGGUAAAGGCUCACCAAGGCGACGAUCAGUAGCUGGUUUGAGAGAACGACCGGCCACACUGGAACUGAGACACGGUCCAGACUCCUACGGGAGGCAGCAGUGGGGAAUUUUGGACAAUGGGGGCAACCCUGAUCCAGCAAUGCCGGGUGAGUGAAGAAGGCCCUCGGGUUGUAAAGCUCUUUUGUCAGGGAAGAAACGGUCUACUCUAAUACAGUGGGCUAAUGACGGUACCUGAAGAAUAAGCACCGGCUAACUACGUGCCAGCCGCCGCCGUAA
This 502-nucleotide ribosomal RNA is filed under the name uncultured bacterium. RNAcentral's name for it is "partial 16S ribosomal RNA". It matches the Rfam family "Bacterial small subunit ribosomal RNA", at positions 30 to 523 of the family's 1533-position model. The record is from RNAcentral.